Capsicum annuum is the source of this 1222-nucleotide long non-coding RNA. RefSeq lists it as uncharacterized. The transcript is spliced from 2 exons. The record is from RefSeq and is a predicted model, not a curated record. Lineage: Eukaryota; Viridiplantae; Streptophyta; Magnoliopsida; Solanales; Solanaceae.
UUUAGGCUUCUUUCUCGUGUUUCUUCUCUCUCGUCUCUUUCUUUUCUCUCUCUGAAAAUCUAAUUCUCAACUCCUUCUUUUUGCAGAUUCAAGGAUAACAAUGGAGUCCCACUUAUCGUAGUUAUCUUAGUUUAAUUCAGCAUUCCAGUUUUUUGUACUCAAUAUCCAUUAUACCAUUUUUGAAUUGAAAUCAGAAAAUUGCCCAAAAAAUGCAUUGUUUCAUUUAUGUCAACUUCUUUGUUAAUCAAUUUGAGGUUAGGUCUUGACAAUUGGUAUCAGAGGAACGAACCUAUCUCGACUUUGGAUAAUAAUUCAAAAAAGAUAUUUGCUGAAUCAACUUUGGCUGAAUUGAUUCAACGAAACAGUGCAAACAAACGGGCCCUUAUGAAUAGAAUGUCGGGAAUACUUAUGAGUGUUAAGCAAUUGCAGAGGUGGCAUGAAGAUUGUAUAUGCAGUGUUGAUUGCCAAUGCAACUCUUGCAUCUAUGAAUGUGCACGCAGCGUUGACUGCCAACUGCUUUUGUCUUGAUGUCUGUUCGAGGGAAAUGAAUGAAGGGAACAACCAAGCUCAGCAUUAAUCGAAAGUGAAUGUGCUAAAGUUUCUGAACCAAGGGAUAAAUCUAGCGAGGUUGUAUGUCUCGCUGAAAUUGGCAAUGACUAAAUCGAUGAUAUCACAGUUGAGGCAUGGAAAAUACCACCAAAAUUGUUUCUAUUGAAGCUAUGCUAGAGCAGUCAGACAAUGCAAAGAAGGAGCAAAAUGUGGACGUGGGGACAUCGUCAAGAUCCAUGAUAGCUUUACAAAUUCAAAAGAUGGCAGAGAUAAAGGUUAUCAUGUCUCCUAUGAACAUUGAAAUAACUGGUGGUGGCAUGCUCUUGAUUGUAAUUUUCAGAAGAAUGGAAAUUGAAAUUCUUGAACUUACUGUUGCAAUAUUAUUAAGUUUUGAUUUUGGAGGUACUACAUUAAGUCAUCCAAAAUUAGCUUUGUUUUACAUUGUUAUGGAUUUCAUGAUAUAGGAAUUCUGGAUGAAAAAAUGUUUUGUUUGGGUAGGGAGUUCAAGCAGAAAAUGCAGCUUGUCCCAAAAAAUUCAACAACUGCAUUGCUCCUAGUGAAACAGUAAAUAUUAGUGAUGUAGGAAGCUUAACUGGUAGAUUCUUAUUAUCUAGUGUAGUUGUUGCAAGGGGAACCUUUACUAUUGAAGGUUGUGAACUUCUGAAAUGUGCAA